UCCCUGGUGGUCCAGUGGUUAAGACUCCGCACUUGUACUGCAGGGGGCACAGGUUUGAUCCCUGAUCGGGGAA
This 73-nucleotide transfer RNA is filed under the name Balaenoptera acutorostrata scammoni. Its description in RNAcentral is "tRNA-Thr (TGT) (tRNA-Thr-TGT-6-1)". It matches the Rfam family "tRNA". Rfam says of the family: Transfer RNA (tRNA) molecules are approximately 80 nucleotides in length. Their secondary structure includes four short double-helical elements and three loops (D, anti-codon, and T loops). Further hydrogen bonds mediate the characteristic L-shaped molecular structure. tRNAs have two regions of fundamental functional importance: the anti-codon, which is responsible for specific mRNA codon recognition, and the 3' end, to which the tRNAs corresponding amino acid is attached (by aminoacyl-tRNA synthetases). tRNAs cope with the degeneracy of the genetic code in two manners: having more than one tRNA (with a specific anti-codon) for a particular amino acid; and 'wobble' base-pairing, i.e. permitting non-standard base-pairing at the 3rd anti-codon position. Lineage: Eukaryota; Metazoa; Chordata; Mammalia; Artiodactyla; Balaenopteridae. The record is from RNAcentral.